Molecule: transfer RNA, 92 nt
Filed under: Dehalococcoidia bacterium
Lineage: Bacteria; Bacillati; Chloroflexota; Dehalococcoidia
Description: tRNA-Ser
Rfam family: tRNA
About the family: Transfer RNA (tRNA) molecules are approximately 80 nucleotides in length. Their secondary structure includes four short double-helical elements and three loops (D, anti-codon, and T loops).
Source: RNAcentral
GGAGGGGUCGCAUAGUGGUCUAGUGCGGGCGCCUGCUAAGCGCUUGCCCUGCGAAAGCGGGGUCGUGGGUUCGAAUCCCACUCCCUCCGCCA